GAAAUGCGAUAAGUAGUGUGAAUUGCAGAAUUCAGUGAAUCAUCGAAUCUUUGAACGCACAUUGCGCCCUUUGGUAUUCCUUAGGGCAUGCCUGUUCGAGCGUCAUCUAAACCUUCAAGCCCUGCUUGGUGUUGGGUGCCUGUCCCGCCUCCGCGCGCGGACUCACCUCAAAUCCAUUGGCGGCCCCCGCGUCGGCCACGAGCGCAGCAGAAACGUGAACUCGUGAGCCCGUCCGGGCGGCUCCCAGAAGCUACACCCACCCAGUUUGACCUCGGAUCAGGUAGGGAUACCCGCUGAACUUAAGC
Molecule: unclassified non-coding RNA, 305 nt
Filed under: plant metagenome
Description: partial contains 5.8S ribosomal RNA, internal transcribed spacer 2, and large subunit ribosomal RNA
Rfam family: 5.8S ribosomal RNA (bases 1-105)
Source: RNAcentral